Molecule: long non-coding RNA, 575 nt
Filed under: Vitis vinifera (wine grape)
Lineage: Eukaryota; Viridiplantae; Streptophyta; Magnoliopsida; Vitales; Vitaceae
Description: long non-coding RNA (VVIN_LNC004264)
Source: RNAcentral
UAGGUAACCUCUUUUUUUUUCCUUUUCCUUUUUCUGAAUCACUGUCGGGACUUGAGAAACAAGAAAAUGUGUUCAUCUUAUAGGUCUAGAAUUGCAUCCAUGGCCUAGACAUGUGCUCCCUAGCUCAAGAACUUUCUAUGGACCUCCAGCUUUCCCCACAACACUUAUAAAUAAAACAUAAUAGUGAUUCUUAAGCUCUUUAUUGAUGUGUACAUGUCCUAACCAAGUUAGGGUGAUUCUCAAAUGCUAUAACUGUCCCUAAAAGUUGACACUCAAAGAUCUAACAGGGACAGCGCUGAAAGGUAAAAAUUUGCAAUAUUUUGAAAGCAGAAAAUAUAAGUCAUUGAAAUUUGAAAAUGAAUUCGAGGUAUAACUCUAUGAUAAGGAUUAUGUGUCCUUCAAGUCAUAAGCAUUGAACCAGUGUAGGGCAAGGAAAGAAAAACCAUAGCACAAUAAGCCACAAAGUCUCAACAAAGAAACCAAUAAAAUACAAUUCACAGAGGAUGGAAAGCCCCUACAAAAGGUUUUAGCCUUAAGGCACCUGCUUAACCAACUGAUCCACUAUCUAAUUAGCC